Molecule: long non-coding RNA, 3309 nt
Filed under: Homo sapiens (human)
Lineage: Eukaryota; Metazoa; Chordata; Mammalia; Primates; Hominidae
Description: HSALNT0085119
Source: RNAcentral
AAUUGCCUUCCAGGACCUUCCCCAACCACCUACACAAAUAUAACUGGAUUUACAGCAGAUCAAUUGCUGAAAUUUUUAAGUAACUUUUUAAAAACCUCCACAAAUGUCUUAGGUAGAGCAGAAUAUAUACACAGAACAUAUUAUUGGCAUUUUUCCAAUGUGGAAGUUAAAUUGUUUGACUCUUAGAAAAACAAUUUCUGUGAAACUUUCAGAACUCAUUUGAAUUAUUUCUCCUUACAGGAUAGACUCAAGACUUUUAUCACGUCCUUCCUUGGCUGAAGAAAAAGAGAUUAAGCCAUUGUUUUCUUCAUUUAUACAACGAGAUAGAAAUAUUGUCAGAACUGCCCUGAGAUUGCACUUGUUGUGAAAAAAAAAUUAGAUCAGAUUAAAAAAAAAAAGGUGUUUGUAGCUUUAUAAAAACAAGUCCUUAAUACUUCUUAAGGGAUCAUUUGAACUUCCCGGCUUAGAAAAUUGCUGCUUUAAUUUUCUUUCAAAAGGGCACUUCAAGCUGAAAUUUAUAAUUCUCCUUUAAGUCUAAAACAGAAGUUACAUGAUACUACCUGCAAUUUUUCUAACUAAAAACAACCAGAUUCACAUGCUCCGAACUUGGAAAAUGAAUUUGUUACAUGACUGUGGUAACAAGAGAUGCAUUGCAUAAACAGUGGGGAGUUGGUGUAUUCCCAAAGUUUUUCAUUUAUUGGAUUUUACUUUCUAUAAUUUAAUAUUUGAAAUAAAAGAAAUUGUAGUAGGUAAAUAAAGCCAAGUUCUCUAGAGACAGAAAAUUCUAGAUUUUUAAUCUGUCUGCACAACUAAUGAUCUCUAUGACUGUGUGUCUCAGUUUGCUUAUUUUGAAAAUGAGGAUGUUCAUUUCACAUUGUAGUUUGGAUGAUUAAUUGUGCUUACUGCAUAUAACGCACUCAGCAUAAUAUGUGUUCAAAAAUAAAAUAUCAUAACGCCUAAAAUAUCCAAAUAAUCAAGUUAUAUUUGUCAGAGUUCUUUCAUACAUAGAUCAUUUAAGUCAAAUUCAGAAUAGUUAAACAAAAAAACAAACAAUACAAUAAGUAUUAAUAUACAGAGAUUUGACUGGCGGGAUUUUAGGAGUACAAAUCAUGCCAGCAGGAUUUUAUUUUAUUCAUCCCUCACUUGGGUCUUUGUAUCUGUUGGCUUUAUUUUCAGUAAAGAUGUCUCCAUAUAAUAGUAAACUUGUUGGUCAUUUGUUCAGACUUAUUUGUUUCUCAGAAAUUCUAGACACAGAACUCCCCAAUGUCUAGAAAAAUGCUGAAUAAGAGCUUUGGUUGGCCUUGAAUUGAGUUGGGUCUCUAACCUAAACCAUCACAAUGGCCAGGAAAUGGCUGUUCUCUGAUCUGCUUCAUGAGACCCUGUGCUUCACAUUAUGUCAGGAGAGAAUCAGGUAAGCUUCUUUAAAACACAGAAGAGAUUCUGUUACCAGGAGAUGGGAUGGUUAAGCAUGUAGGGAAGAAAAAAAAAAUCUAUCUAGCUCUCUAUUCAUCUAUCUAUCUAUCUCUAUUUAUCUGUCUACAAAUCCUAGGCUUCUCUUCCAAUUGCCGUCAAUCAUUUUGGAGUCAUCAAUAAUUUAAGAGUUUUAAAAAGGGGUACUGAGAACAAAAUACGAUCAACUUUGAUGCUCUAUUGGUAGAUAGAUGCAAUAUGUUAAACAAGAAAAUAUUAAACACAGAAAAGUACCUAAUCACAUAUUCCACUACCUGUGAGAAUAAUGUCACACAAGUAAUGUAGCUUUGGAAAACUUAACUGAUAAUAUGACAGUGAAAAGGACAAGAUAGCAGCUUUGUAAAUUAAUUUUGUCCUCAUGGAAGUCCUAAAAGUGUCUAGCAGAGGCCCAGGUAUCUGCAGACCCCACAUUCAAAAAGCCUGCUCGAGCCCAUCAUGUCACCAUAUAUGGGAAAUACACAAGAAAUCUUUCCCUCCCCUCCAAGCAUACAGCCACUUCCGUGGAUAAGGUGGAACUAAUUCACUCUACUGUAGCCAACUCUAGCAGUUCUAACUGUUAUAAUGCCACUGGGAUAAUCUUUAUAGGCUUCAAAUUUAAAAGCCAUAGACUUAUUCAGCAUAUUUAACUACUUUCUAUUUCUGUACAUAAUGGAUCAAACCCACUUUAUAUUAUAUAAUUUUUUUUUAAAUUUGGGUCUUGCCUCUUCUUUCAUCUCUUCAUUGCAUUCUAUGUUUGAACAAUACUAAACAAGAUGAUCAGAAAAAUGCGCUCAGAGACCUUUACUUAAAACAAUGCUCUGGCAUCUCCUAUAAUUCAUUUCAGUAUUUCUCACCAUAAAGUUCACUCAAACAAAACUUUUCAAUUUAUAGUAUUUUAUUUGUAUCCAAGAGGUAGGUUUACUUACAAUUUAUAUAUGUUCCUUGAUACUUUCAACAUGGAUUCAAACUCCCAAUUAAACUUAAAAAACAUCAGGGGAAUAAACUCAAAGGAUACUUGUCUUGAAAGAUUGCCCUAGAACUCUGCAAACGACCACUCAAUUUGUAAACGGGAUCACUAAUUAAAUGUGAAAUAUAUGCAUGUCCAUUUGGAUGAUCAGGAUUGUAACUGUAGGACCUCACUUACAAAUCCAAUUCUGCAUCGUUUCUUUUACAUUUCAAAUUAAGAGAAACAAUUCUAUUUUUAGAUUUGUGUCAUAAAACUAUAAUAUUUUUAUUACUAAAUUUUAAUGGAAAUGUUUAUGAUUAUUUGAGUCUGUGUCUGCACACAAAAAUCUGAGUUUGUAAAUUGAAUAUGUGAUAUAAAAUUUCUUAUAUUUGUAAAAAUUUACAUUAUGUCUCAUAUAGCUCAAGUGCUUUGUAAUAAAUUAUAUGACAUAGUCUUUAAAUGUACAUAAUGAAAUGUCUAAUACGGAAAUACCUGUUUGAAAGUUUUUUCUUAAAAAUAAAUGUCAAUGAGAAGGCAAAAUUUAUUUAUUCAUUUAUUUUAUUUUAUUUUAUUUUUUUGAGACAAGGUUCUGCUCUGUCAUCCAGGCUGGAGUGCAGUGACACGAUCACAGCUCAUUGCAGCCUCUACCUCCUAGUCUCAAGUAAUUCCCCUACCUCAGCCUCCCAAGUAGCUGGGACUACAGGCACGUGCCACAAUGCCCAGCUAAUUUUUGUAUUUUUAGUAAAGACAGGGUUUUGCCAUGUUGCCCAGGAUUGUCUCGAAUUCCUGGGCUCAAGCUAUCUUCCUGUCUCUGCUUCCCGAAGUGCUGAGAUUACAGGCAUAAGCCAUAAGCCACUGUCCUUGGAAAAAAAAAUUAAUUUCUAAUUGUUGUAAUAAUUAAAGGAGCUAUGUAC